RNAcentral lists this ribosomal RNA (573 nucleotides) under uncultured bacterium. RNAcentral's name for it is "partial 16S ribosomal RNA". It matches the Rfam family "Bacterial small subunit ribosomal RNA", at positions 355 to 920 of the family's 1533-position model. The record is from RNAcentral.
UGGGGAAUUUUGGACAAUGGGCGAAAGCCUGAUCCAGCAAUGCCGCGUGUGUGAAGAAGGCCUUCGGGUUGUAAAGCACUUUUGUCCGGAAAGAAAUCCUUGGCUCUAAUACAGUCGGGGGAUGACGGUACCGGAAGAAUAAGCACCGGCUAACUACGUGCCAGCAGCCGCGGUAAUACGUAGGGUGCAAGCGUUAAUCGGAAUUACUGGGCGUAAAGCGUGCGCAGGCGGUUUGCUAAGACCGAUGUGAAAUCCCCGGGCUCAACCUGGGAACUGCAUUGGUGACUGGCAGGCUAGAGUAUGGCAGAGGGGGGUAGAAUUCCACGUGUAGCAGUGAAAUGCGUAGAGAUGUGGAGGAAUACCGAUGGCGAAGGCAGCCCCCUGGGCCAAUACUGACGCUCAUGCACGAAAGCGUGGGGAGCAAACAGGAUUAGAUACCCUGGUAGUCCACGCCCUAAAACGAUGUCAACUAGUUGUUGGGGAUUCAUUUCCUUAGUAACGUAGCUAACGCGUGAAGUUGACCGCCUGGGGAGUACGGUCGCAAGAUUAAAACUUAAAUGAAUUGACGGGGUC